UAUUUUUUUAAUGCUUGAUGCAUGGAAAAAUAUAUUUUUAAUUAAAAUAAAAUUAAAACAUUUUUAAUAUAUAAAUGCAGAUCCACUUUCUUCGAUCACCUGACAUCAGCCUCAAUGAAUAAUAUAUUGGCAAGAUAUGGUUGUGCCCGCCCUCGUAGACACCGCCGAGAUGGUAGAAAACAUGGGCAAUAGUUGCAUCUCUGAACAAUCGCCAUUGACUGAUCAAAUUAUUACAUGGGAGGUCUUCAGUGUUAAGAGACGACCCAUCAGCACUGCAUAUUUUAAAAACUAUUAUUUGCAAGCUACAGCUUUUCUUUCUGCUCCAUGUGGAGAACUUGCAGUAUUAUCAUGCUAG
RNAcentral lists this long non-coding RNA (355 nucleotides) under Manihot esculenta (cassava). Its description in RNAcentral is "long non-coding RNA (MESC_LNC009362)". The record is from RNAcentral. Lineage: Eukaryota; Viridiplantae; Streptophyta; Magnoliopsida; Malpighiales; Euphorbiaceae.